Molecule: long non-coding RNA, 421 nt
Organism: Melanotaenia boesemani (Boeseman's rainbowfish)
Lineage: Eukaryota; Metazoa; Chordata; Actinopteri; Atheriniformes; Melanotaeniidae
Exons: 3
Source: RefSeq, a predicted model, not a curated record
CCUUAGAGCGAGGACACCGAAGCGAGAAGAUCAAAGAGCGAUGUUGCCACUGGUAAUAGAAAGGACACAAUCAGCUCUACAAAAGACUUGUCAUAGAGGGCUCAGAAAAGCUGGAUCCCAACCAGCCCAGGCCUCCAGGUAGUGGACCUGCUCAUGGACCAGUAGACAUGUCCCAGUCAUGAGCAGAUGGACCAAAACAGCCAUAUCUAAAGGUUUACCCUUGGACUGUGUACAACGACAGGAGACGGGGCUUCAACUAUGUGAUUCUCCAUUCAUAAGUGGUUGGAGUAUAAUAAUUUCCAUGUUUACUGCUUAUUGGUCACACAGAUCCCUGAGUGAGUGAGUGAGUGAGUGAGUGAGUGAGUGAGUGAGUGAGUGAGUGAGUGAGUGAGUGAGUGAGUGAGUGCCCUCUCUUUGCCAU